GAUUGAAUUUCAUUUAUUUGCUCAUGUUUGCGGUCACAUUUGUCGUCGGGACAAUUAUAGCGGAGCCUCCUCCCACCAGAGCAGCAAGUUCUUGAGAAAUGCGCCAAGUGCUCAUCGACAUAUGAGACUGUGCGUGUCUGUUGACCUCUGAGCACCUCAAGUUUUCACACCUUUUUC
This is a non-coding RNA of Caenorhabditis elegans, 177 nucleotides long. The record is from Ensembl. NCBI's taxonomy places the organism in Eukaryota, Metazoa, Nematoda, Chromadorea, Rhabditida, Rhabditidae.